GCCGGGGUGGCGGAAUUGGCAGACGCACAGGACUUAAAAUCCUGCGAUAGGUUCCUAUCGUACCGGUUCAAGUCCGGUCCUCGGCACCA
Molecule: transfer RNA, 89 nt
Filed under: Paenibacillus sp. J2TS4
Lineage: Bacteria; Bacillati; Bacillota; Bacilli; Caryophanales; Paenibacillaceae
Description: tRNA-Leu
Rfam family: tRNA
About the family: Transfer RNA (tRNA) molecules are approximately 80 nucleotides in length. Their secondary structure includes four short double-helical elements and three loops (D, anti-codon, and T loops).
Source: RNAcentral